UACGAAGGGGGCUAGCGUUGUUCGGAUUUACUGGGCGUAAAGCGCACGUAGGCGGAUCGUUAAGUCGGGGGUGAAAUCCUGGAGCUCAACUCCAGAACUGCCUUCGAUACUGGCGAUCUUGAGUCCGGAAGAGGUGAGUGGAAUUCCUAGUGUAGAGGUGAAAUUCGUAGAUAUUAGGAAGAACACCAGUGGCGAAGGCGGCUCACUGGUCCGGUACUGACGCUGAGGUGCGAAAGCGUGGGGAGCAAACAGG
RNAcentral lists this ribosomal RNA (253 nucleotides) under uncultured bacterium. RNAcentral describes it as "partial 16S ribosomal RNA". It matches the Rfam family "Bacterial small subunit ribosomal RNA", at positions 524 to 776 of the family's 1533-position model. The record is from RNAcentral.